UUCCAGACUCCUACGGGAGCCAGCAGUGAGGAAUAUUGGUCAAUGGCCGAGAGGCUGAACCAGCCAAGUCGCGUGAGGGAAGAAUGUCCUAUGGAUUGUAAACCUCUUUUGUCAGGGAGCAAAGUCACCCACGUGUGGGUGUUGGAGAGUACCUGAAGAAAAAGCAUCGGCUAACUCCGUGCCAGCAGCCGCGGUAAUACGGAGGAUGCGAGCGUUAUCCGGAUUUAUUGGGUUUAAAGGGAGCGUAGGCCGGCUUUUAAGUCAGCUGUGAAAGUCCGCGGCUCAACCGUGGAAUUGCAGUUGAAACUGGAGGCCUUGAGUGCACACAGGGAUGCCGGAAUUCAUGGUGUAGCGGUGAAAUGCUUAGAUAUCAUGAAGAGCUCCGAUCGCGAAGGCAAGUGUCCGGGGUGCAACUGACGCUGAGGCUCGAAAGUGCGGGUAUCAAACAGGAUUAGAUACCCCCGUAU
This 467-nucleotide ribosomal RNA is filed under the name uncultured bacterium. RNAcentral's name for it is "bacterial SSU rRNA". It matches the Rfam family "Bacterial small subunit ribosomal RNA", at positions 329 to 793 of the family's 1533-position model. The record is from RNAcentral.